UGAUCUCAAAUCAGGUAGGACUACCCGCUGAACUUAAGCAUAUCAAUA
RNAcentral lists this ribosomal RNA (48 nucleotides) under Ceriporia viridans. RNAcentral describes it as "partial 28S ribosomal RNA". RNAcentral also lists the same sequence under 1 other name. The record is from RNAcentral. Lineage: Eukaryota; Fungi; Basidiomycota; Agaricomycetes; Polyporales; Irpicaceae.